Molecule: unclassified non-coding RNA, 2581 nt
Filed under: Leishmania donovani
Lineage: Eukaryota; Euglenozoa; Kinetoplastea; Trypanosomatida; Trypanosomatidae
Description: gene:LdHU3.17.1350(CDS-product:Lariat_debranching _enzyme_C-inal_domain_containing_protein_putative)
Source: RNAcentral
UCGCAACUGAUAGCAACACUCAGGAUUCUGCCUCGAUUGCAAGGAUUUGCCCUCUCUCGCUCCUUCUGCGUACACUCAACAGCCUUCAGAGUAUAUAGGACAGUAGCAUACUACGAGAGCCGCUCACGCGUCACUGCGACUCUUCCUCUCCCUCCUUCUCUCUACGCGCAUGCGUUGCUCUCCCUCACGCUUCCGUGGCGGAAAAACGGAAUCAUCGUGCGCGUACGCAGUUAGAACGACGCUGUCCUAGCAUGGUCUGUUCUCUGUUUCGUCAGAGGGCAAUAUGUCGCUAGCGCACAAAAUCUUCGCCACGCUGAAGGCGAGUGGGGAUGGCACUUUCCCCAGUCCUGCAGCGCCGACGUCAGGUCAGUCGGAAACAGCCACGACCACGUCAGCGUCUCCGUCAGGCUCGUGGAAUGAGCGCUUCUACCACAUUGCGGUGCAAGGGUGCUGUCACGGAGAGCUUGACCGCAUCUACGACUCCUGCAGCGAGCACGAGCGACAAACUGGCAAGCGGAUCGACGUGCUGCUCUGCUGCGGUGACUUCCAGGCCGUGCGGACGGCCAGAGACAUGGACAGCAUGGCAGUGCCGGACAAGUACAAGGUACUCGGUGACUUCCACAAGUAUUAUGCCGACGUGUCGGGCGCGUUCACCGGGCACAAGGCGCAAACAUUAGCACCGUAUUUGACCAUCUUUGUAGGCGGCAACCACGAGAACUCUGACCUCCUGGCGCAGGAGAGCUACGGUGGCUUUGUGGCGCCGAACGUCUUCUAUCUAGGUCAUUCCUCUGUCGUCACCGUGGACAACUGUCUCACCAUCGCAGGGCUUAGCGGCAUCUUCAAGGAUCCAGACUACGAUCGCCCGUAUCCACCCCGGCCGUACGCUGUGAACCCAGUGGCCAAAAAGUCCGCCUAUCACGUGCGGCGGAUCGAGGUCGCGAAGCUGCACGCCUACCUGCGCGCCACCCAGAAAAUACGCAGCAACAGCACAAUUGAGGCGGCCAAGACAACCUCAGCCACGUCGCCCGCGGCGUCGCCGCCGAUGGUCGAUCUCUUUCUCUCCCACGACUGGCCCGUUGGCAUCACCGGCUACGGCGACGAGGCGCAGCUGCUGCGCUUCAAGCCGUACUUCAAGGAUGACAUCCGCCGCCACGCCCUGGGAAACCCGUACACCAUGCGCCUGCUGCAGGAGGCAAAGGCACCCUACUGGUUUGCCGCGCACCUUCACUGCUACUUCGAAGCCACCGUCGAGCAUCCAAGCGCGGGCGCAACGGAGACGAUGGCAGCGACAGCGGCGGCAUCCACAAAGUUUGUGGCCCUGGACAAAUGUGCGAAGGGGCACGGGUUUCUCACCUUCAUCGACCUCCCACGUGUGCGUCGAGGCGGCGUGCGAGCCGCACCGCCGUCGGAAAGCCAUCCACAUGGCACGGCUACUGUGCUGGGUACCUCGCGUAUUCGACGGGAUCCGGUGUGGCUAGAGGUGCUUCGUGUCUCUCACCAGUUUGUUGCAGCGAACCGCACUGUCGAGGCAGGACUUGGCGGCGGCGGCUUCGAUGUGGACGAGGCCGUGAAGGAGGUCGUUGCAAGUUACCGGAGUGCCACGAGGCCCUCUGCUGCCGCGCUUCUCGCGCCGACAACAGAGACGCUGCUGGCGGCACUACAACUUUCUCCGGCACUUCCCCUUCAGCAGAUGGCGCCUGCAGCCGCAUCGCCGGAGUCUCCCACGAAAGGGGCUGACGGGAGGGCGUCCCCAUCGGCGACCAGGCGCGACGAAACCGUUUGGCAGAAUCGAAACAGCACCCGAUGUAUUGGUGGUAGUCUUCAGCCACACCACCCACGAGCACGCACAGAGGCGACGAGAGCGUCUUCUGUCUCCACAGCGGCACCUAAGUCAAGCACUCCGCUGUGGUAUACUGCAGGCACACAGCCCUUGCAGCAACCGCCAACGAGCGCGCUGCGCAUCUUCGAGGAUGUGGGACCAACAGGCUGCUCCUCAGCCCCGUCCUCGACGUCAGGUAUGGUAGCUGGUCACGUCUCGUCCUCGUUUGCUUGUACCGAUGGCGACGGCGGCGCACCACCGCGGGAACCGGCAGCAACAACGCUGAGCUGGUUCGAAGACACAACGCAGCAGCAGCAGCAGCAGUCGUGACGACUGGUGGAUGCAGGUGUGUGUGUGUGUGGCGCUUCCUGACCUGUUCCCGCCCUCACCCACCCCCUUCAACCAGAGCAAUGUGGUUGUGUUUACUAUCGCCCUUCUUUUUGUCUUCGCUCGCUGCAGGCGGAGAUGUGUACUCAGAGGGGGAAAAGCUUAGGACGGCGCAUUGCCGUCGUGGCCAACUUCUGCACAGCCACACCCCGUCCCAACCCGCCAGUGUGCCGAGAGCAGGUGGAUGGAAUGGACGGCCCACCAAGACAAGGGAGAACAAAAAAACGUUGAACGCACCCAUACGACGGACCAAGAGAGAGCCUGUUAAACAGAAUAAAAGGCAUGGGGGCGCACGUGGUCGUCACACGUAUGGAUACUACAGGUGUCACAUGCGAUGUUGGCGGAAGGAGGGUAGGAGGAGGUCUUCCCCUUUCC